Trifolium pratense (red clover) is the source of this 3738-nucleotide long non-coding RNA. RefSeq lists it as uncharacterized. Lineage: Eukaryota; Viridiplantae; Streptophyta; Magnoliopsida; Fabales; Fabaceae. The record is from RefSeq and is a predicted model, not a curated record. The transcript has 9 exons.
CGAGAGAGAGAAGAAAUGAAAUCACUUCCUCCUUCACAGGCACCUCCUUCCCCCUUCUUCUUCAGCAACGACAAUACUCCCUCCUCCAUGAAAACCAAAAAUCAAUUAUUCUCUCAAUAAGCACUGCAUGUGUGAAAAUUAUAGUGCCCAACAUCGAUUGAACUCGUUAGAAGCAAAAUCAAUUUUUGAUUUCCUCUCAUUCCUGCUAUUGGUCGAAAAUCCCUUCCCCCCCUCACAAGUUCAUGUUCCUCCAUUGUUAAAGCUUGCAUAUGCCAAUCUAUGUUCACAACCAUCAAUUGGAGUUGUUAGGAUUCUAAGGUAAGAACUUGAUUUCUCCAUUCCUUCUCAUGUUGAUGGUUGAAAUUCUAAUUCCUAACCCCAAAUCAUGUUUCCAUAUUUGGAUAUGCAUGUAUUCUGUUCACAAUUAAUGGAUUUGGUGAAUAUGAGUUAAGAAUUAAGGGAACUAGAAGAAUUGGAAGAAUUUGGGUUAAACCCGUAUUCUGGACAGACAGGCACUAAAAAGGUGACUGUUCUCUCUCUGUAAAACCGUUUGAGAUGCCGUUUGUUUCUAUGGAUAGCUAACUCAAAUACGGUCGUUGUGGCACUGGUUGCAUAAUUUUUGGACGUGAAAUGAGCAUUUCAGUUGCAAAUUAUGCUUUUCGGCGAGCUCUGGAAGUGUCCAUGCUAUUGUUCAAGCUUCUUUUCAGAAUCUCCGAGACUUCACAAGCUCUCGCCAUUCUCCAUCGAUUCUUCAUGGAGCAUUCGUGACGAUCUUCAAAAACUCUCGCAAUUCUUCACUCAGCGUUUUCAAGUUGAUUUCAGAAUCAAUUGAUUGUGGUAUUUAGUGAUUUUGCCUUCAGAAAUUUGACUUACGGGUCUUCCUCAUGUCCAAUUCUUGUAUCUCUAUGACUGUUGCUGUAUCUCCUGUUGGAUCAACCAACAAUUUUCACACUUCGUGGACCAUAGGUUGGUGUUCCUAUAUUGCAAUACUUUACUUCCUUAUAGCUUUUAUAUACAAAUUGAGGAUUUUAAUUUGAUUCAUGCUUAAUUUUAGGUUAGGUUGGCUCAUCUUAGGAGAAUUUGAAUAAAUUUAUUAUGCUUUAGGAGAUUCAGUACUAAAUUGUCCUUAUCAAAUAUGCUACAAUUUGGUAUGAGUCACAUAUUAACUGAAGUUAUUUCCUGCGGCAUGUGCAUUUUUAUGUGAGGCUAACUUUGAUGUUAGUAGCAGUAAGUGGUUUUAUCAUUUUAGUGAGGUAGAGGCUAACUUUGAUGACAAUUUUAUUUUUGAGUUGUAGAAGCUGCUCAGAGAUGUCAAUGUGAGCCUCUAAUUUCAACAACUCUUCAAAUUUAAAGCAUUUAACAUUGGAGUGUUUCCACUUUCUUCUCUAAUAACUUGAAAACCUUAGCCAUAAAAAGUCCUUAUUUCUUUUGUCUCCCACUUCGCUCACACUCGUUUAGUUCUCCAACUUCACCUCUUCUUAUUUCUCCUUGCAUCUUUAUCAUGUUUGUCAUCUCCAUCAUAAAAAACUCAAGGUAAGGACUCUGGUUCUUCUAACUUUUGUUUUUUUUUAAGAUUUGGUUCACUAGUUUAGAGAGAAUCAGAAUUGGAUUGUUUGCUCAUUUCUUUACUUUUGUGUUUAUGCCUUUAGUUCCUAUUAGUUUUGAUAAUAAUGUCUCUGUUGUGUUUGAUAGAAUGCUUUAAUAAAGAUAGUAACAUGUUUGCAAAUUAUUGUCAUGUGCACUGAAUAAAAUACCUUCUUCAAAUUAUUGAUUGUUCGACACAGGCAGCUCAGAUUCAUAUGUGGUAAGUUUCUAAAACCGAUUUGAAUUUCGUAACUAUUAAUAUUUUGAUGUCAACUGAAUGAUGCCUUCAGUACUCGUUGGAUUUUUCUGUGAUAGUUCGCAUUUAGUGUUCAAUAAAUGCUAUAAUCUGUUUCACUUGUAAUUCUGUUUCAAUCUAUGUUGUAAACUGUACCAAAAACAAGUCAUAUCGGUUACUCUCUUGUAUGCUUUCACAGGGAAUCAUGUAUGCAGUCAUGAAUUUAAAGACCUACAUUUAAGGGGAUUUAUUUUGAUGGCUAAAUAAAUUUGCUUUUUUUUUGUAAUGUGGAUCAAAAUUCUGCCUCUGUUUAUGAACAUAUUUAUAAUUUGAACUGUGAAAAAAAAUGAAAUGUAGAUUGGAACCCUACACACUUGGAUUUUCGCUUGUUCUCAUGCUGGAGCUAGUGGCGAGAUUGAAUAGAUCGGCAGAACGCAGCUGGACUGAACCAUGGUAGUGCAGUUAAAAUGAUGAAGCAUGAACUGGAUUCCUCUUAAUGUUGCAGAGCAGAUUUGGAUGUCCAUCCAAGAAAACAACCAAUAAGUCAUAUGUUUCUUCUCAAUGUACAUAUAUUCAUAUGUUUCUUCUCAAUGUAGUUUUUUUAGAUAUUUCUAUUGUUAUAUAUUGUUUUUCCAUUUCAGUUGUAGGAUAUUAGAUUAUUAAAGAUUAAUAUGUCUCUCAGAAGUACAAUGUUGGUUAUAGUGUAUCUUAAAAAUGAUUCUUAAUUUGUUGGUAUUGUUGUUAUUGAUACUGUAGGUGGGUGCUUCUUAGUGAGUCAAAAUGGUAUAAUUCUUGGUAAGGAAUAUUAGCACAAUUGAAUUGAAAUUAUAGGACAUGACACUUGCAAUUGCAGUGACAUGGAUGAUCAAAUUUGUGGAUGAGAAUCAGGAGGUUCUUAAUGUCAGUGAAUUUUCUACAAUAUUAAGUUUUGUAUUUACUUGACUUGUUUUUUCAAUACAUAUUGUUGGUAUUUACUAUAAAAUACUUGUGAUUAAAUAGAAACAACUUCAGAUUGAGAAAAAAAAAAGGUAGAGGAAGUGUGUAUCUUACAUUAGAGACACUUUUCUGAGAUGCAUUAUGUUUUCAAGGUGUGUCACGCUUGUUCUCGAAUCAGCGCACUAGGAAUCGAAGAUUUAAGAUGAUUUCCGACAAGAGCACAUUCAUAGGAAGUGUGUAUUAAUACUAUUGGUACUUCUAUUCAAUUAAAUUACAAAAGUGCUAUUAGCUUGGAUUACUUGCAGGUGGUAAAAGAAGAAGACUGUGAAAUUGAAGGAUUCAAAGAUCAAGAAAGGGUGGAACAUCAAUAUUGAGGCUAAAUCAAUACAUCAUGAUCCAACUAUUCAUUGUGACCCGAAUAUGUUCAAUCCUUCAAGAUUUCCUAAUGAUAGUAGCAGAUGAAUUAGAUUAUCUAAUAACCAAAGACGGAGUUGUGCUCGAUGAUCUUUUCAUGCUCGUCACAUUUCCAUUUUCCAGAUGUAUAUUGAUAGAGUUUACAGUACGUAUAGUUUCUAUGUUUGGGAGGGUACACAGACUUCACUGGUGUCCCAACAAGAAUUAUUAUGACUCUUAAUCACAUGAACAUAUGCAACCCUGCUACAUUUUUUGGAAUCUAUGUCUACUCUUCGCCUAUCAAUCUUGUUUACUCGGACGUCAGUAUCACAACCAGCAAGUUGAAGAAACACUUUCAGCCAAGAAAAAGUUGUCGUCUUGUAUUAGUGAACUUGGUGGGUAAAAAGGUUCCACUUUAUGUAGCUGGAUCAACCAUAAUAGUAUCGCAAACCGGUAGUAUUGAAGUUGUACUUUAUGCUCUUGUGUUUAAAUUGUAACUUAAAAUCGUAUAAUUUAAAGUUUGUGAGUAUUAUUUUUGCUUGAGGAUGUCCAUUUGCAAGAGAAGUUGCUGAAUCAGUUUGUGUAUUCCA